AUGAAAAAGCAGGCGCAUAACAGGGCUGCUAACUCUGUUUUAAGGGGUUCAAUCUCUUUUUUUUUAUU
This 68-nucleotide transfer RNA is filed under the name Bathymodiolus brooksi. RNAcentral's name for it is "tRNA-Ser". The record is from RNAcentral. Lineage: Eukaryota; Metazoa; Mollusca; Bivalvia; Mytilida; Modiolidae.